Molecule: ribosomal RNA, 274 nt
Filed under: uncultured bacterium
Lineage: Bacteria
Description: partial 16S ribosomal RNA
Rfam family: Bacterial small subunit ribosomal RNA
Source: RNAcentral
AUACGGAGGGUGCAAGCGUUGUUCGGAAUCACUGGGCGUAAAGGGCGCGCAGGCGGUUUGGUAAGUCAGAUGUGAAAGCCCACGGCUCAACCGUGGAAGUGCAUUUGAAACUGCCAGACUUGAGUACCAGAGGGGAAAGUGGAAUUCCCGGUGUAGAGGUGAAAUUCGUAGAUAUCCGGAGGAAUACCGGUGGCGAAGGCGACUUUCUGGCUGGAUACUGACGCUGAGGCGCGAAAGCGUGGGGAGCAAACAGGAUUAGAAACCCCGGUAGUCC